Molecule: long non-coding RNA, 2562 nt
Filed under: Nicotiana tabacum (common tobacco)
Lineage: Eukaryota; Viridiplantae; Streptophyta; Magnoliopsida; Solanales; Solanaceae
Description: long non-coding RNA (NTAB_LNC001979)
Source: RNAcentral
UGCCACUUCUUCUUCUCAUUGAUCAAUAUGUCCCUUAAUGCCAAAUUAGCUUAACAAUUUCUGCCAGACAAGUGCAGAAUAAGAACACUCGAAUAAGAGGUAGGUAUGUGUUUUCUUCAAGGUCACCUGUGCAGUAGAGAUUUCAGUCCUCGUCGUAUUAACAUGUCCACUCUUGCUAGCCUUUUUCUGAAUUGUCAUCCAUAAAAUGAAUUGACAUCUAGGAAUAAUGUCUGUUAGCAUGAUUAAUAAUUUUCGAGGAAAUUUUGGGUGUUGUGGAUGGAAUUUUGCGUUAUGCUUCCUUGUCAUAACCCGAUAGUUCAUUUAUAGUAUUACCCUUAAUUUCUGUAUUCCGAGACCUUGAAUAGCUCCGUUAGCCUUCUUCAAUUUGUGUGCGCAGUCUGUGUCCUUACUCCGGAAGGUUUUUAUGAGAAAGUUGAAAAAAAUGUCAUGAAAUCGUGCCUUAAAACUCAUUUGAGUUGACUAUGGUCAACGUUUUGUGUACACAGACCCGAAUUAGUAUUUUGACGGUCCCGGUGGGUCCAUAUCAUAAUUUGGGACUUGGGCGUAUGACCGGAAUCGAAUUCGGAAGUCCCUAACUUGAUUUAUCAUAGUUUGUUGAAAACUAGAAGCUUAAAGUUUUAAAAACCUCAUAAGUUUGACCGUAGUUUGACUUUGUUGUUACCGGGUUUGAAUUUCGAUUUCGGAACUUGGUAUGAGUUUAUUACAUUAUUUAUGACUUGUCUGCAAAAUUUGGUGUAAAACGGAGUUGAUUUGACAUGAUUCGGUUGAGAAAUUUCAUAUUCUUAAGUUUCAUUGAGAAAUUCAUUCGUUUUGGUGUCCGAUUCAUAGUUCUAGGUAUUAUUUUGGUGUCUUGACCACGCGAGCGAGUUCUUAUAAUAUUUUUGGACUUGUGUGCAUGUUUUCUUUGGAGCCCCAAUGCUUGGGUGAGUUUCAGAUAGGUUGCGGAUAUUUUUGAACUUUAGGAAAUGCUGGUUUAGCUUCUGCUGGUUUCUGGUGCACGCUUCUUCACGAUCGCGAAGAGUCGUUUGGGACAGGGGAGGAGAUUGUUCUUCGCAAAUGCGACUGUUCCUCCGCGAACGCGAAGCAUUGUGGGUUUGGUGGAGUUGGGCUUGUGUUACGCGAACGCGAUGGUCAGAGGGAGGAACUAUCACUAACGCGGAGCACUUCUCGCGAACGCGUACAUUUGGGCCAAUGUGCAUCGCGAACACGACAGGCCCUUCGCGAACGCGAAGAAGGCCUGAUGCCCAGACCUUAAAACAUUUCAAACACGGAAUUCACCCAUUUUUCACCAUCUUUAUUUGAGCUCGGCCUAGAGGCGACUUGGAGAAGAAAUUUCAUUACCCUUACAUAUGUUAGUGUACUUUAACUUAUUUCUUCCGUUUCCAUCAUCGCCCAUUGAUUUCUAGCCUUAAUCUUUGUUCUUUCGUGGUAGAAAAUUAGGGAUUAGUAAAGAAUUGAGGGGGGGGGGGAGGGUUGGGGAUUUGCAAAUUUGGGAUUUAGACCUCAAAUUGAGGUCAGAUUUCGAAAAUAAUUACAUUAAUCGGGCUCGGAAAUUAACGGGUAAAUGGAUUUUAGUCCGAACCUCCGAUUUUGACCAAGCGGGCCUGGUAUUGACUUUUGUUGAAUUUUUUAGGAAAGUAUAAAGAUUUUAAAUUUAUGUAUUGUAAUUGAUUUCCCUAGCAUUAUUUGAUGUCAUUGAGUCGAUUUUGGUUAGAUUCGGUUGGUUCGAAGGCAGGUUUAGAGGGCCCUGGUAGAGCUUUGAUUUGCUUGCAUAGCAAGUUAAGUGUUGGUUCUAACCUUGAUUUGAGGGAAUUAGGAACCCUUGAGCUAUGUGCUAUGUGAAAUUCAUGUGUAGCAGUGUAUAUGCAAGGUGACGAUUAUAUAUAUAUGCGCCAUCAAAAUACUUGUUUCCAUGCUUUUCCCCCCGUAUUUUAUUAAGUAUUUCAUUCCAUGUCUUAACUAGUACAUGCUUAAUUGCCUCAUAUACCUUAAUUUGCUAUUUAUCAUUUAUUAUUCUUGUAUUAAAAUGUUAGUUUCUCCCAUGCUUCCAUGUUUAAUUAACUUGCUUGUAUUCUUUAGUUGUCAUUUAUUUGACUUAUCUUGCUUCUUAGUAAUAAUUUUAGCAAAUUCUUGAUUUGGUACCAGAUUUCCCUUAUGGCUCUACUUUCAUAUUCGUUAAUGAUAGAGAUUCUUAUGAUUUGAGUUGUUGAAUUGAUUUCAUUUAUUGAUUUGUGUUUAUGAAUUGGGUUACAUGCUGCAACAGGUGGAAUAAGGGAAGAUUGAUAUUAAUAUGGUGGGAUCGGGUUGCAUGCCUCAACAGAUGGAAUAAAGGAGGAUUGAUAUGAUGAAAUAAGGGAGGAUUAUGAUAUUGAUUCUAAUUUUAUGGUGGGAUCGAGUUGUGCGCCUCAACAUUAUUUUACUUGUUAUUAUUGAUAUUUACAUGAAGGAAUAAGGGAGGAUUGUGUUUGUACGGUGGGAUCGGGUUGCACGCCGCAACAAUUUAUGUGUUGGUAUUCCUUGCUGCAUUAUGUUGGGUUCGGU